GUCCGCGUCACUCAUGGUAUUUGAAGAUGCGGUUGACCAUGGUGUGUACGCUUUAUUUAUGACGUAGGACACAUGGUCUACUUCUUCUCAAUAUCACAUCGCGCC
Molecule: microRNA precursor, 105 nt
Filed under: Octodon degus (degu)
Lineage: Eukaryota; Metazoa; Chordata; Mammalia; Rodentia; Octodontidae
Source: RNAcentral